RNAcentral lists this ribosomal RNA (255 nucleotides) under uncultured prokaryote. RNAcentral describes it as "partial 16S ribosomal RNA". It matches the Rfam family "Bacterial small subunit ribosomal RNA", at positions 523 to 777 of the family's 1533-position model. The record is from RNAcentral.
AUACGUAGGGGGCAAGCGUUGUCCGGAAUCAUUGGGCGUAAAGCGCGUGUAGGCGGCCAGGUAAGUCCGUUCUGAAAGCCCGGGGCUCAACCCCGGGAGGCGGAUGGAUACUGCUUGGCUCGAGUCCGGAAGAGGCGAGUGGAAUUCCCGGUGUAGCGGUGAAAUGCGCAGAUAUCGGGAGGAACACCAAUGGCGAAGGCAGCUCGCUGGGACGGUACUGACGCUGAGACGCGAAAGCGUGGGGAGCAAACAGGA